UACGUAGGGGGCAAGCGUUGUCCGGAAUUAUUGGGCGUAAAGCGCGCGCAGGCGGUCAUUUAAGUCUGGUGUAUAAUCCUAGGGCUCAACCUUAGGUCGCACUGGAAACUGGAUGACUUGAGUGCAGAAGAGGAGAGUGGAAUUCCACGUGUAGCGGUGAAAUGCGUAGAGAUGUGGAGGAACACCAGUGGCGAAGGCGACUCUCUGGGCUGUAACUGACGCUGAGGCGCGAAAGCGUGGGGAGCAAACA
RNAcentral lists this ribosomal RNA (250 nucleotides) under uncultured prokaryote. RNAcentral describes it as "partial 16S ribosomal RNA". It matches the Rfam family "Bacterial small subunit ribosomal RNA", at positions 524 to 774 of the family's 1533-position model. The record is from RNAcentral.